Pelobates cultripes (western spadefoot toad) is the source of this 222-nucleotide non-coding RNA. NCBI's taxonomy places the organism in Eukaryota, Metazoa, Chordata, Amphibia, Anura, Pelobatidae. The record is from the annotation of a GenBank genome assembly.
CACUGUUUCACGACUAUAAUAGAAUGGCUAUUUUUAGUAGCUGAAGCAGAGGGAGCUCAGGGUUACUUUCAGAGUGCAUGUUAUCUCUGGUCAUCAAUGUAAAUGCAGCUGCCUCAUUACGAGACUAUAUCAACCAGGGAUCUCAGAGGUAAUGUCUCUUCCUUUUCACCUGGACAUAAAAUUGGAGAUAUUGCAAUCAAAACCCUUUUCCAUACACUAGCU